Molecule: ribosomal RNA, 552 nt
Filed under: Allosergestes pectinatus
Lineage: Eukaryota; Metazoa; Arthropoda; Malacostraca; Decapoda; Sergestidae
Description: partial 16S ribosomal RNA
Rfam family: Bacterial large subunit ribosomal RNA
Source: RNAcentral
GUCUAUACGAAGGUAUGUAAAGUCUGGCCUGCCCACUGACUAAUAAUGUUUAAAGGGCCGCGGUAUCUUGACCGUGCGAAGGUAGCAUAAUCAUUAGUCUUUUAAUUAAAGGCUUGUAUGAAUGGUUGGACAAAAAGUAAGCUGUCUUCAGUUAUAGAAAUUGAAUUUGACUUUUAAGUGAAAAGGCUUAAAUAAAACAAAGUGACGAUAAGACCCUAUAAAGCUUUAUAGUGUAGCUUUUUAUUAUAAAUUAUAAAAUUGUAUAACUUAAUUUAAAGUAAAACUUUUUCGUUGGGGCGACGGAAAUAUAACAGAAAUAACUGUUUUUAUAUCAAUAAAACAAAUAUAUUUGGCCUAAAAUGAUCCUUUGCUAAAGAUUAAAAGAUUAAGUUACUUUAGGGAUAACAGCGUAAUCUUCUUUGAGAGUUCAUAUCGACAAGAAGGGUUGCGACCUCGAUGUUGAAUUAAGGUUCCUUUAUGGUGUAGCAGUUAUAAUCGGAGGUCUGUUCGACCUUUAAAUCCUUACAUGAUUUGAGUUCAGACCGGCGUAAG